AACGUGGAGACAGGUGGUGCAUGGCUGUCGUCAGCUCGUGUCGUGAGAUGUUGGGUUAAGUCCCGCAACGAGCGCAACCCUCACCCCUUGUUGCCACCAGGUCAGGCUGGGCACUCUAGGGGAACUGCCCCGGUCAACGGGGAGGAAGGUGGGGAUGACGUCAAGUCAUCAUGCCCCUUACGUCCUGGGCUACACACGUGCUACAAUGGCCGGUACAAAGGGAUGCAAGACUGCGAGGUGGAGCUAAACCCAAAAAGCCGGCCUAAGUUCAGAUUGGAGUCUGCAACUCGACUCCAUGAAGGAGGAAUCGCUAGUAAUCGCGCAUCAGCACGGCGCGGUGAAUACGUUCCCGGGCCUUGUACACACCGCCCGUCACACCACGAAAGCCAGCUGUACUCGAAGUCGCUGAG
RNAcentral lists this ribosomal RNA (410 nucleotides) under uncultured Methylomirabilota bacterium. Its description in RNAcentral is "bacterial SSU rRNA". It matches the Rfam family "Bacterial small subunit ribosomal RNA", at positions 1025 to 1434 of the family's 1533-position model. The record is from RNAcentral. Lineage: Bacteria; Methylomirabilota (SeqCode).